GUUAGUCGGGUCCUAAGGCGAGGCCGACAGGCGUAGUCGAUGGAUGACCAGUUGAUAUUCUGGUACCGGUUUUUUCUUGUCCAGUGCUGACAAAGUUGUGCUAACCAACGCCGUGAUGGUGGUGAUUCCUUCGGGUUUUACCACCUAGUGGUCUUGGGGUCCCUUCUUGGGUAGGCAAGCGUGUUAACAGGGGUGACGCAGUAGGGUAGCUGAUGCUGGCCGGUGGUUGUGCCAGUCUAAGGUUGUGGCCCGCAUGCUAGGUAAAUCCGGUGUGCUGUCUUUAAUGACGUGGGUGAGGGCUGAUGGGACUGCCACUUAUAGUGGUGGUUAUUGGUGUGCCUGUGCUGUCUAGAAAAGCCUCGACGUUAGAGAAUGACCGCCCGUACCCUAAACCGACUCAGGUAGUUAGGUAGAGUAUACUAAGGCGUGCGAGUGAAUCAUGGUUAAGGAACUCGGCAAAAUGCCCCCGUAACUUCGGGAUAAGGGGGACCAGGCCCGGACAAGUACUGUUUUUCUGGUUUUUGUUUGGGUGUGGUCGCAGUGAUUUGGAAGAAGCGACUGUUUACUAAAAACAUAGGUGUGUGCGAAGCCCUAAGGCGAUGUAUACGCACUGACGCCUGCCCGGUGCUGGAAGGUUAAGCGGAAGGCUCAACCCCUUGUGGGGUGAAGGUUUGAAGUUAAGCCCCAGUAAACGGCGGUGGUAAC
Molecule: non-coding RNA, 705 nt
Filed under: Actinomyces sp. S6-Spd3
Lineage: Bacteria; Bacillati; Actinomycetota; Actinomycetes; Actinomycetales; Actinomycetaceae
Description: Bacterial large subunit ribosomal RNA
Rfam family: Bacterial large subunit ribosomal RNA
Source: Rfam by way of RNAcentral